This 253-nucleotide ribosomal RNA is filed under the name uncultured bacterium. Its description in RNAcentral is "partial 16S ribosomal RNA". It matches the Rfam family "Bacterial small subunit ribosomal RNA", at positions 524 to 776 of the family's 1533-position model. The record is from RNAcentral.
UACGGAGGAGGCAAGCGUUAUCCGGAAUUAUUGGGCGUAAAGCGUCCGUAGGUGGCUCUUCAAGUCUGCUGUCAAAGAGCGGGGCUUAACCCUGCAAAGGCAGUGGAAACUGAAAGGCUAGAGAGCCGUAGGGGUAGAGGGAAUUCCUGGUGUAGCGGUGAAAUGCGUAGAUAUCGAGAGGAACACCAGUGGCGAAGGCGAGUCUCUGGACGACUCCUGACACUGAGGCACGAAAGCUAGGGGAGCAAACAGG